UACGUAGGGUGCAAGCGUUGUCCGGAAUUAUUGGGCGUAAAGAGCUCGUAGGCGGUCUGUCGCGUCGGAUGUGAAACCUCGGGGCUCAACCCCGAGCCUGCAUUCGAUACGGGCAGACUAGAGUUCGGUAGGGGAGACUGGAAUUCCUGGUGUAGCGGUGAAAUGCGCAGAUAUCAGGAGGAACACCGAUGGCGAAGGCAGGUCUCUGGGCUGACACUGACGCUCAUGCACGAAAGCGUGGGGAGCAAACAGG
Molecule: ribosomal RNA, 253 nt
Filed under: uncultured bacterium
Lineage: Bacteria
Description: partial 16S ribosomal RNA
Rfam family: Bacterial small subunit ribosomal RNA
Source: RNAcentral